GUCGCUGUGGCCGAGUGGUUAAGGCGAUUGACUAGAAUUUCCCAAAUUCCAGUUAUCAAUUCUCUUCGGGGGCAUAGGUUCGAGUCCUAUCGGCGACG
This 98-nucleotide transfer RNA is filed under the name Drechslerella stenobrocha 248. It matches the Rfam family "tRNA". Rfam says of the family: Transfer RNA (tRNA) molecules are approximately 80 nucleotides in length. Their secondary structure includes four short double-helical elements and three loops (D, anti-codon, and T loops). Further hydrogen bonds mediate the characteristic L-shaped molecular structure. tRNAs have two regions of fundamental functional importance: the anti-codon, which is responsible for specific mRNA codon recognition, and the 3' end, to which the tRNAs corresponding amino acid is attached (by aminoacyl-tRNA synthetases). tRNAs cope with the degeneracy of the genetic code in two manners: having more than one tRNA (with a specific anti-codon) for a particular amino acid; and 'wobble' base-pairing, i.e. permitting non-standard base-pairing at the 3rd anti-codon position. The record is from Rfam by way of RNAcentral. Lineage: Eukaryota; Fungi; Ascomycota; Orbiliomycetes; Orbiliales; Orbiliaceae.